UUGCUCUUUCUGGAUCAAAUCAAGCGCGAAAAGGGCGUUUGGUGGAUGCCUUGGCAGCAAGAGGCGAUGAAGGACGUGAUACCCUGCGUUAAGCCAUGGGGAGCCGGGAAUAGGCUUUGAUCCAUGGAUGUCCGAAUGGGGAAACCCACCUGAAGCUUUGUUAUGUUCACCCUCGGGUGAUGCAUAAUGAGGCUAACCAGGUACUUUACUCCUGAAUACAUAGGGGGUUUAGAGCAAACCCGGGGAACUGAAACAUCUAAGUACCCGGAGGAAAGGAAAUCAAUAGAGACUCCGUUAGUAGUGGCGAGCGAACGCGGACCAGCCGAGCCUGGAAGAACGAGCAGAAUGGUCUGGAAAGGCCAACGAUAGGGGUGACAGUCCCGUAUGCGAAGUUCCACAGGACAUAUCAAGUAGGGCGGGACACGUGUAAUCCUGUCUGAAGAUCGGGGGACCACCCCCGAAGGCUAAGUACUCCUUGCUGACCGAUAGCGAACCAGUACCGUGAGGGAAAGGUGAAAAGCACCCCGACGAGGGGAGUGAAACAGUACCUGAAACCGGACGCCUACAAGCAGUCGGAGGGGCCUCGAGCCCUGACGGCGUACCUUUUGUAUAAUGGGUCAACGACUUGGUCUUACGAGCAAGCUUAAGCCGAUAGGUGUAGGCGCAGCGAAAGCGAGUCUUAAAAGGGCGCAUGAGUUCGUGGGAUCAGACCCGAAACCAGGUGAUCUAGCCAUGAGCAGGAUGAAGGCACGGUAACACGUGCUGGAGGUCCGAACCGACACCCGUUGAAAAGGGUCCGGAUGAUUUGUGGCUAGGGGUGAAAGGCUAAUCAAACCUGGAGAUAGCUGGUUCUCCGCGAAAGCUAUUUAGGUAGCGCCUCGCACGAAUACCCACGGGGGUAGAGCACUGCAUGGGUGAUGGGGGCCCACAGCCUUACUGAGCCUAAGCAAACUCCGAAUACCGUGGAGUACUAUGCGGGAGACACACACCGGGUGCUAACGUCCGGUGUGAAGAGGGAAACAACCCUGAUCUGCAGCUAAGGCCCCAAAUUCAUGGCUAAGUGGAAAAGCAUGUGGGACGGCCAAAACAACCAGGAUGUUGGCUUAGAAGCAGCCAUCAUUUAAAGAUAGCGUAACAGCUCACUGGUCUAGAUAAGCUGUCCUGCGGCGAAAAUGUAACGGGUCUCAAGCCAUGAGCCGAAGCUCGGAAUGUGCAGCAAUGCACGUGGUAGCGGAGCGUUCUGUGAUAUAGCUUCAUGUGUUUUAACCCUCGCAAGAGGGCGAUGAACACAAGAAGCUUACUGUGAAGCCGGGCUGUAAGGCAUCCGGUGGAGUGAUCAGAAGCGAGAAUGUUGACAUAAGUAGCGACAAAGGGAGUGAGAGACUCCCUCGCCGAAAGUCCAAGGGUUCCUGCUUAAAGCUAAUCUGAGCAGGGUAAGCCGGCCCCUAAGGCGAGGCCGAAAGGCGUAGUCGAUGGGAACCACGUUAAUAUUCGUGGGCCAGUGGGAAGUGACGGAUCCUUACCGUUGUCAGGUCUUAUCGGAUUGAUCUGGCAGCCGCGGGGUUCCUGGAAAUAGCCCCACAUCAGACCGUACCCUAAACCGACACAGGUGGACUGGUAGAGUAUACCAAGGCGCUUGAGAGAACCACAUCAAAGGAACUCGGCAAAUUACCUCCGUAAGUUCGCGAUAAGGAGGCCCCAUAGGCGGGCAACCGUUUGUGGGGGGCACAAACUAGGGGGUGGCGACUGUUUACUUAAAACACAGGGCUGUGCGAAGCCGUAAGGCGACGUAUACAGUCUGACGCCUGCCCGGUGCUGGAAGAUUAAGAGGAGGGGUGCAAGCUCCGAAUUGAAGUCCCAGUAAACGGCGGCCGUAACUAUAACGGUCCUAAGGUAGCGAAAUUCCUUGUCGGGUAAGUUCCGACCUGCACGAAUGGCGUAACGAUCUCCCCGCUGUCUCUGAUGUGGACUCAGCGAAAUUGAACUGUCUGUCAAGAUGCAGACUUCCCGCGGUUAGACGGAAAGACCCCAUGAACCUUUACUCUAGCUUUGCACUGGCACCAGGAUUGGGAUGUGCAGGAUAGGUGGUAGGCAUUGAAGCGGGGACGCUAGUCUUCGUGGAGCCAUCCUUGAGAUACCACCCUUCUCAAUCUUGGUGUCUAACCGCGGCCCGU
RNAcentral lists this ribosomal RNA (2174 nucleotides) under Rhodobacter sp. SL23. RNAcentral's name for it is "bacterial LSU rRNA". It matches the Rfam family "Bacterial large subunit ribosomal RNA", at positions 1 to 2236 of the family's 2925-position model. The record is from RNAcentral. Lineage: Bacteria; Pseudomonadati; Pseudomonadota; Alphaproteobacteria; Rhodobacterales.